AAAAAAAUGUGUAGGUACAUAAGUGGAAAGAAACUUAUGUAACUAGUGUACUAGUUAUCAAAAUUAAAUAAAUAAAUAUUAUAGGACAUUAUUACAGAAAUUGACUAAGCCCCACGGUAAGCUCAAUAAGGCUUGUGUUGAGGGUACUUAGACAACGAUAUAUAUAAUAUAUUAACGAUGUAUAUAAAAUUGUAUACAAACACAUUGGUAAAAUAUUAGAAUACUUGCGUUGCGUUAAACUAUUUUCAAUCUCAUUUACGACCGGUCUAUAUUUACCUACACUUGGCUAUGCAUUGGAUCCCAGAUCCUUGAAUCCUAGGUACCCAUUUAGAACUGUUGACAUUCUACAUCACGUAUUCUAUGGCAUGAGCCUGGGCGGGCGGCGAGGCGGAGGGGGAAGGGACACGCGAUUGGCCCGGCACACCUCAACCGAGCCUUCAGUCUGCACCCGGCCGCCGCGGAGCGCGCACGUCGCUCGUCCCACCGAUCUUACUCGGCUCAUCCGCGUGUUACCACUACAUCCAUUCUUCAAUUAAAUUGAGUGUGAAAACGAAUAGUCUAUUCGCGUAUAGUUUAGACAGCCUGUGACGCCACUAACCACCGAGCUAAGGGUUGUUUUCGACGCUACGCGUCAAUACGUACCAGUGUAAUGUAAUGAGCUCUGUUGACGGCAACCUAUAGAGGAUUUUCAGCAAAAGUAAGCAUCUGAUGUCUUCACUCUCCAGUUCUUAUUUGGCAUAAAUACAUGUAGGUACUGAACGUUAAAAUCUACGAAGAAAUGUGGGUCAACACUCCUGUAGUCCCCCGACCCGCCACCUGAAUAACGCCAUGACAUCCGAAACCCCUCUCGAUGCCAAAAAGAAACAGGACGCUAAAAAGGACUGCGCCAAAUUCGCAGAAGACAAAACAAAUGAACACAAAACUAUAGAAGAAGACAAAAGAAAAAGAUCCAAUGAACUGAUGAGGCUAGUCUACGAACUACCUGAAGAAAUAAAAAAAGAAGUGACUGAGAAUAAUAAUAUGUUAAAAGAGAACCCACCAGUCAUGAUAGUCGAGAUAACAGAACAGAAUGGUUGUGAACCGGACAAAAAAUGUGAUAACGAUUACCUUACAGAAAUAGAUUCUAGUCCAGACUUAGGCAAUAGUGUCGUAUAUGACGUUUUAGCUACUAAUGAACUCAUAAUGCACGCGGAGGAGUAUAAAGAAGUGAUUGUGCGUUCUUCGCCUGAAUGUGCGGAUGAAGACUUGUUAGAGUUAAAGAAGUUGAUUGAAGCUAGUCCUAAAGUGUUAGAGAGGUAUGUUAGGGAAUGUGCGAGUAGUGAAGAAGUGAAUAGACUGCAUAGUUUGACGUCUACUGGGCCGCUGUCGCCGCGGCAGCAUCAGGCGAGGAGUACGUCGGUUACGUCAGACCUGUUCCAGUUAUGGCUGUCAUCAUCGCCUGUUAAGAGAUCGCGGUCUCCAAGCGGCUCAGCUUCUCAGCGGCAGCUGGAGGAGGCGGAUCUGUUCAUGGACCUGAUAAAGGACGUAGCCAACGAGUUGGAUAUUAACGUGUUAUGUCAUAAGAUCCUAGUGAACGUGUGCCUGCUAACAUCGGCCGAUCGCGGCAGUUUGUUCCUGGCCAAAGGAACGCCGCCUAACCGCUAUCUUCAAGCUAAGCUGUUCGACGUCACGAGAGACACAGAUUUAACCGAGGCCUUGAGCACAGCACAAUCGCAAGAAAUCAGGAUCCCAUUCGGCGUUGGAGUAGCGGGCGUUGCCGCUCAGACAAAACACCACAUCAACAUCAAAAAUGCAUACGCAGAUCCCAGGUUCAACAGUGAGAUCGACGCCCGCACCGGAUACAAGACAGAGCUCAUUCUUUGUAUGCCCAUCUGCAACUAUGAAGGAGGAGUUGUUGGCGUCGCUCAAAUCAUUAACAAAACUGAUGGCUCCAAAGAAUUUUCCCCUCGCGACGUGGAAGUCUUCCGCCGCUACCUCACCUUCUGUGGCAUUGGCAUCCAGAACGCCCAGCUCUUCGAGUCCUCGGUCCUCGAGUACAAGAGGAACCAGAUACUCCUGGCCCUGGCUAGGAGCAUAUUUGAGGAGCAGAGCAACUUGGAGUGCCUAGUCACAAAGAUUAUGACUGAAGCGAGGGAUUUGCUGAAGUGUGAUCGGUGCGCUGUCUUCAUUUUGGAUACGGAUCAUUGUGAAUCUAGUCACUUGGAGCGUAUAGUUCAAAGGCCUGGCGGCGAGCGCUCCACGACCCUCGCACUCCCGCCACCAGCGCCCACCAGGUUCCACACACUCUUCGAACUUGGAGCUAAGCAGUCCAGAACCACAUUAACACCAAGACACGACUACCAGUCUACAUUAGCCUGCAUUGCUUUAGCCGUGGCUCAAUCCAAUAAAGCCUUAAAUAUCUCCGAGGUGUCAGACUGGAGGAAAGAGCACGGUAUCGAGUUACAAGACCCAGAGAAUGACGACGCGAAGGAUGUCAGGACGAUGCUCUGCAUGCCCAUCGUUAACGCUAAUAAAGACGUUAUUGGUGUGGCACAACUUAUCAAUAAGGAAAACGGUUGUCAAUUCACCGACGGCGAUAUAUCGAUAUUCGAGGCAUUCGCCAUCUUUUGCGGUCUAGGCAUCCACAACACGCAGAUGUAUGAGAACGCUUGCAAGCUGAUGGCUAAACAAAAGGUUGCGCUAGAAUGUCUAUCAUACCACGCUACAGCCUCAGCAGAAGACACCAACAAGCUGUGCCAGGAUAUCAUCCCCACUGCCGAAACCUACAAUCUUUACAGCUUUCAGUUCCAUGACUUCGACCUAUCUGACGAAGACACGUGCAGAGCGACGCUCAGAAUGUUCCUCCAGUGCAACCUGGUCGAGAAGUUCCACAUACCUUAUGACGUCUUAUGUCGUUGGAUACUAAGUGUCAAGAAGAACUAUAGACCAGUAAAGUACCACAACUGGCGACACGCCCUAAACGUAGCACAAACCAUGUUCGCGAUGCUGAAGACCGGCAAAAUGGAGCGAUUCAUGUCGGACCUAGAAAUUCUAGGUUUACUAGUUGCUUGCCUAUGCCAUGACCUGGAUCAUAGAGGGACGAAUAACGCGUUUCAAACGAAGACCGAAAGUCCUCUUGCGAUUUUAUAUUCGACAUCGACUAUGGAGCAUCACCACUUCGAUCAGUGCGUCAUGAUUUUGAAUAGUGAAAGCAAUAAUAUAUUUCAGGCUCUCUCCCCUUGCGAUUACAAGGACGUAAUGCGGGUGGUAGAAACAGCCAUACUUUCAACAGACCUGGCGAUGUAUUUCAAGAAGAAGUCCAAGUUCCUAGAGCUGGUCGACAACGGGGAGUUCGACUGGCAGAGUCAGGAGAAAAAAGAGUUACUAUGCGGCAUGAUGAUGACAGCCUGCGACGUGUCAGCCAUCGCCAAGCCGUGGGAAGUCCAACAUAAGGUCGCCAAGCUGGUCGCUGACGAGUUCUUCGACCAGGGGGAUUUGGAGAAGUUACAGCUCAACCAGCAGCCCAUUGCUAUGAUGGACAGAGAAAAGAAAGACGAGCUGCCCCAAAUGCAAGUAGGCUUCAUCGACAUGAUCUGCCUGCCGCUAUACAGGGUGCUCUCAGACACGUUCCCCUGGAUCCAGCCCCUGUACACAGGCACCCUGGACAACCGGAACCGCUGGCAGGACCUGGCGGAGAAGGUGGAGAUGGGGCUCACGUGGAUCGACCAUGACACUAUUGAUAAACCUAUUGAAGAGUUUACUGCAUCCAGCGAACCAAUCAAAGACGUGGAAUUUACUGUGACCACGUUAAACUGCGCUAAGACCGCUGCCGAAACGUCCAUGGCGGUGGCCAAACCUAUAAAGACCCCCUUUCACUCUUUAAGGAGGGGGAAAACUGGGAACUUUACGUCUAGGUCGGCGAGAAGCAAACUUACUAGAUCAAUGUACGCGGCGCCCAGCUACCGGGAGGAGAGAUCAAGCAUAAAGAGGCCGGAGAGCCAGCCGCCGGUGCCAGAAGAGCCGGAGCAGACAAGCAAGAUUAAGCAUGAAGGGCGCUUGUGCCAUAUGUUGUGACGUUUAAGUUUUAACUGGUAAGUCUCUGCAAUAUCCCUACAAAUAUUAUAUAGAGGAAAGCUACCCGUCAGUGCAAGAAGAGCCGGAGCAGGCAAGCAAGAUUAAGCAUAAAGGGCGCUUGUGCCAUAUGUUGUGACGUUUAAGUUUUAACUGGUAAGUCUCUGCAAUAUCCCUACAAAUAUUAUAUAGAGAAAAACUACCCGUCAGUGCAAGAAGAGCCGGAGCAGGCAAGCAAGAUUAAGCAUAAAGGGCGCUUGUGCCAUAUGUUGUGACGUUUAAGUUUUAACUGGUAAGUCUCUGCAAUAUCCCUACAAAUAUUAUAUAGAGGAAAGCUACCCGUCGGUGCAAGAAGAGCCGGAGCAGGCAAGCAAGAUUAAGCAUAAAGGGCGCUUGUGCCAAAUGUUGUGAUGUUUAAGUUUUAACUGGUAAGUCUCUGCAAUAUCCCUACAAAUAUUAUAUAGAGAAAAACUACCCGUCAGUGCAAGAAGAGCCGGAGCAGGCAAGCAAGAUUAAGCAUAAAGGGCGCUUGUGCCAUAUGUUGUCACGUUUAAGUUUUAACUGGUAAGUCUCUGCAAUAUCCCUACAAAUAUUAUAUAGAGGAAAGCUACCCGUCGGUGCAAGAAGAGCCGGAGCAGACAAGCAAGAUUAAACAUAAAGGGCGUCUGUUUCAUAUGUUGUGACGUUUAAGUUUUAACUGGAGCAGCCAGAGUAGCACCGAGAAGCCGGAUCGAGUGAAGCCGUCCAAAUCGAUCGAUUGAACUGAAACCGAUAAGGGGUUAUUAUGUACACCUAUCCUUUUCUGCUACCUUGCUCUUAAGAGAGACAGAGAAAUCCUUACCCUGUGUUCUCAGUGUCAUGGAAAGGAUAGAUGUAAUUACCCCAAUAGGUACCUACUCUGCGAUCCAGUUACGACAAAAUGUCGUUUAGAUGCAAUUCUGUACAAUUCUACUAAGAAUAAGUGUAUUCUUAUAAGAAAAUGCUAUCUACUGAGUACGAAAUUCUUGCGGUUAUUCCUGUUUUAUUAAAGCUGUGCAAUUAUUUUAUACAAUAAUAAGUCUUUUUCUCACCAAUUACAUUAAAUCGGAACGAGAAAAUGAACGGAUGAAUUGAUUUAGCUGAAAUAAUACUUGAAAACGUGUUAUAAAACAUUGGAAUAGCUGCAAAGGUAUUUCAUAAAUCUUAGAAAUUCAACUACUUGAACAGUACUACUUUUAGUGAAUAAUAUUUGGGAUUGUGGAUUAAGUAUUUAGUUUGUUGAUUCUUAUAGCUUUAAUUUGAACUAUUUCAGUUACCAAGUUUCAGCGCUUACCAAAAAUAUUUAUAUAAGAAACUAUGGCAUAAUUGCCUUAGUUAUUUAUAAUUUAUUAUACAACUUAUUAGUCUUAUUACCAUUAUAUUUAUUAAGCUAGUAUUUACUUUAUUGGACGAAAUAAUAUCACAAGCCGAAAAUUAUUAAUAUUAUAAUCUUUAUUUCGGACCAAGGAAAAUUAUUUUCUUGACCCUUAUAACGCCAAAAACUUGGAGGAUUUAAUAACUGGAGAUGCCUUAUCUGUAAUUUUCUGUACAAAACAGCCGAUUUUUGCGGGGGAGGGGCACGUCAAAUGCAGAUAAGGCUAUUUGUACGUAACGAACAAAUAGCCAUGUCAGAUAUACGUCAGUCCGUAAAAUACAUAUGACCAUUGGCCGAGGUUUUCGACGAAGGGGUAACAUCUUAAAGGUGACUCCAGAGGGUCUACCACGAAUCCCGUUCGACGUGUUGCCUCCAUGUUACACUUGCGUACGAAUGUACAGGUGCGACAGAGAGGCAACAAGUCGAACGUGGUUCACGGUAAGCCCGUAGUUGUUAAAUCCUCUAAAACCAAAGACAUCAACAGACACGCACGGUGACAGAUUUAUAACCUUUGGACAUUACGAUAAGGUUUAAUACGUUAUAUAGUGGCAUACGUGGCAUUCAAGAGGUUAAUUCUAGAUAGUUUUCAAUUAAACUUUUUAUUUAAUAAGUUAUUUGAUUAUAUCUUUAUUAUAGUAGGAGAUACGUUAUAAGGAAUAUCUACCCUCAUCUGUGAUUUGUGAUAAGAAGUGAUAGAUAAUAUUCACAUUGACACAUGGAAAAUAGGUUGCCUAGUAAAAUAGCGUACGGAUAUUUUUUUUACGUACUUUUUGUUAUUUAAUCGUGUAUAACGUCAAAUCAAACCUUAUUUUAUAUAUAAUCUAACUGUAAUAUAAAUAAUAAUAAAUGAUAAUAAUUCAGCCUAUAUAAGUCCCACUGCUGGGCACAGGCCUCCUCAUGUGCGAGAGGGCUCGGGCUAUAGUCCCCACGCUAGCCCAAUGCGGAUUAGGGACUUCACAUACACCUUUGAAUUUCUUCGCAGAUGUAUGCAGGUUUCCUCACGAUGUUUACCUUCACCGAAAAGCUAGUGGUAAAUAUCAAAUGACACUGAACUGAAACUGAAAUAUGCCUUAUUAAAAAGUUAGUCCAGUCCAUGGUAUGGUAGUUGCCUAGAUUAACCGAUUUUUAUCUAAAAUCUAGGCAACCAUAGACUACACCAACUUUUUAAUACGGCAACCUAGUUAAAUUAUUAACUAAGCUUUCAUGCAAUAUAAUAUACGAUUAAAUAACAACGAUAAAAGUAAAAAAAAAAAACUUUCCGUACGCAAUUAACUUGGCAACCUAUUCACAAUGUGUCAAUGUGAAUAUUAUCUAUGUGAAUAUUUCCUAUCACAAAUAAAUAACAGAUGAGGAUAGAUAUUCCUCAUAACGUAUCUUAGACUAUUACUUUUUAACUACGGCAACUUUCGAAUGAAUGCCUUAGAAAAAUAUUAGUGUAGUAAUAGUAACACCAUUUUGGUGUUCGUUUUCUUGUAAAUCGAAUAGGUAAAUGUUUAUCUUAUUGAUGUAUUAUUUACAUAGACUGUGAUCUAGCAUUACUUCGCGAAAUUCUAUUUUAAAACUUCGUACUGUAGGUUGUGUCAAACGUUGUAGCAAUCUAACUUAGAGGUCUCGGUAUUGUAAAUAAACUUUGUCUUCAUGAGCGAUUUCCAUUUUUUUAUACAAAAAUCAUUUUUCUCUAUCUUACUCAAAAUUCGAUGUUGACAGCAAGGCUCGGAACCGGUUUUAAAAAUAGCGGUAAAUAUCGCUUUUACUCCGAACUUUCAUAAAAAUGCGAACGUUUUAAGAACUUUAUUGUACUUAACCUAAAUAAACCGGUUUAUUCGACGAGCGACGAGACGACCGGCCGGCAUGGAGGUGUGCCGCGUAAACCAAAGCACCGACUUAGAAAAAAACAUUUUUUUUUUUGUAUUAAACCGGUUAAUCUGACAAGAACUUUAUGAAAAUGUUCUCCUAAAAACCGGUUGAAAAAUAACGGUUUUACGAACGAAUCCUAAAUUAAAAGGUUUUGCGCCAAAUACAUAUGAAAUUUAACCGGUUUUCGAGCCUUGGUUGAGAGUAGAAAACUCCUAGAAUUUUUCAAGGACCUAAUCAAAAAAAAAUUGUAAUCACUGUAUAAAAAAAACCAUAUUUUCUUAAUGGAUGAUACAAUUUUCAAGAAAACAAAUUUAUGUAAAAAAAAUGGAGAAAUCUCAAAAGCAUGCAACUUGAAAACUUUUAAAAUAGAAUAUUCGUAUCUUGGCCUGAUACCGUGAUGUAUCGGAUGUUUUAGAAUAAAAUAUUUACUAAUAGAUUAUAAGAGAUUUUUACGAGAAUAAUUAUUGUGACUUCGAUCAAUUACUUUUCAAAUAAGAUAUUAGUUUAUUGCUGUUGACAUUAAUUGUUUGAAGCUGAAAGUAUUAUGAUGCUAGUCGAUGUUUCGUUUUCCAAGGAACAUUACGUCCAUUUGCUUAUGAAGCUACCAUGUGCAAUAUUUCUAUUUUUAUGGUGGGUAGGAUAGAACAAUUUUUAAAUCCGUAGCCUAGAACAGUUUAAUAUUGUACCGUAUGUUGACUGCCAGUAUACCACAGAAUUAGACGAUUAUUUUCCCUUUAGACUGUUAGUAGUGAUUUUAUAUUACAAUAUCUAGCGAUGUAUAAUUGAGACUCAGUUUCAUAUACCUGCCGAAGCAAAAAUUUGAUUAUCUUCAUUUCAUAAAACACAUUCAGAACACUAUUUUAAUUCAUCAUUUAUUCAGCAAAAUUAGAACUACGUACAUUUUAAUUUUCCUGCAUUUGAAUAGCAUUAAGUUGAGUCAAGACGGGUCAAUUUUCCGCCAAUCUGAUUAAAUUUCGCGAUCCAAUCGGUACCCCUAGUGUAAAUAAAUUCGAUUUCGAAACGUGACGUACGCGUUUGCGUUAAGUCUCAUUUUGUAUAGGAUUUUGAGUUUCCAAAACGUCCCGCUUGGCGCGCUCUUUCUAAAUCCAAUACAAAAUGAGACUAAACGCAAACGCGUACGUCACGUUUCGAAAUCGAAUUUAUUUACACUAGGAGUACAGGUCAAAUAAAGUGGAGGUGCGGACGUAAGAAUACCAAUUGAUGACUAUAGUAUUUGUGUUUGUUGUAUCGCGUACAUUUUUUAAUUUAAAGCCCUCAAAUAUCACUUUUAAACUCAAAUUGGUGAUUAAAUUGGGGAUUGACGCCAAAUUUAUUUUCUUAUCAAAUCGAUUGAUUAGGUUAUCCCGUCUGGACUCCACUUUACGUAGGUAUAUAAAUUCAUAUGAAAUAAUGUGACAGAAGAAUUCAGACAGCACUUAAUUCAAAUGCGAAAUAGACAAUUACAUACCUAUAUUCGUAAGAAUAAUGAUUAAUAUUAUAUUCUAACUGAACUAUGUUUAUAAUAUUAAUAAUUAUUCUCUAAGUACCUGUGUAUAAUAUUAUUAACAAUUACAUUUUUGAAUUUUUAUUGUAAUAGGUAGAUCGAAUGAUACGAGGUGUGAUUAAAUAAACGUUUUAAUAUUAGAUAAAUGUGUCUUAAACUUUUAGAUGGAAACAAAAUUAUUUGUAUCAUAUUAUGGACUAUUAUGACAAGUACUCUGUUUUGACGUUGAAAGUUAUAUUUUUUAUAAGUCUUCAAUAUUUCUGUGAAAUGUACAGCAACGAAGUUGUAUUUUAAUUUAAAAACGUUAUGUUACCAAAAAUAUUAUUUAUACUAACGUUAUUUAUUUGUAAAAACUUUUAAUUACUUGGGCUUUUGAAAAAAAACUUGUUUAUUUUUUGUCAAAAUACUUAUCUAACAAGGCAGUAAUUUUUCAAUUUUAAAUUUAUUCUAAGCAUAAUAGUUCGCAGCCGUUUCUGCUUGUUAAAAAUUAAUUUUAAAUACCUAACAUUUAAAAUUGCAGAAACGAUCAAUGUGAUCGCGGCCCUUUGUCGCUUGUCAUAAGAUAUGACAGGUUAUUCGAAUACAGAUACAAGCAAAUCUCGUCCUUACGGCAAGCGACAAAGUGGGACCUUUUGCCGGCCGUGGUCACAAAUAUAGAACAUGACGUAGGUAUGUACAUACCUAUAAUUUACAACAUCAUUAUACUUAUUUUGAAAAAAAAAUGAAACAUUCCACUUAGGGUCCCACUGAUUAUCAGUUCGCCGGACGAUAUCGGCCUGUCAGUUCGCAAAAGCUGACUAAUCGCGAAUAUCUGACAGGCCGAUAUCGUCCGGCGAACUGGUAAUCAGUGGACCCCUUAAAGUAAUAAUUAUGUUAUUGUUAAAAUAAGUGAUAUCUAAUUGCGAUAACAUGCAAAUUAAUUUCAUAGCAUGUUUUCUUACGUUAUCCAUCCGUUUCAUACACGGAAUGUAAAGAUCGUUCCAAAGAAACAUUGUAUUGAAAUCUUCCAAACACUACACGAAAUUGUUUCUUUUACUUACUUACUCCGUUGGCUCAGCGACCCAAAAUGAGACUUGGCCUCCGACACAAGACAGCGCCACUUUUCUCGGUCCUGUGCGACCUCUCGCCAAUUGUCGACUCGAAGCUCGCGCAGAUCCGCCUCCACCAUGUCGCUCCAGCGAUACCUAGGGCGUCCGAUAGGACGUCCUCCUGCUAGGCGACCCAGGUACGCUCUUUUUACGUUCCGAUCUUCGUCCAUUCUCUCAAGGUGGCCCAACCAACGGAGUCUGUGGGCUUUACUUCCUCCCAUGAUGUUUCUUUUACUACAGUUAUAAAAAUACUGAAUGUGUACACGAAUUAAACGUAUUGUGAACAUA
Molecule: RNA transcript, 10180 nt
Organism: Cydia pomonella (codling moth)
Lineage: Eukaryota; Metazoa; Arthropoda; Insecta; Lepidoptera; Tortricidae
Gene name: cGMP-specific 3',5'-cyclic phosphodiesterase-like
Exons: 20
Source: RefSeq, a predicted model, not a curated record